RNAcentral lists this ribosomal RNA (373 nucleotides) under uncultured organism. RNAcentral's name for it is "partial 16S ribosomal RNA". It matches the Rfam family "Bacterial small subunit ribosomal RNA", at positions 526 to 896 of the family's 1533-position model. The record is from RNAcentral.
GGAGGGGGUUUAGCGUUGUUCGGAAUUACUGGGCGUAAAGCGCACGUAGGCGGACUGGAAAGUUGGGGGUGAAAUCCCAGGGCUCAACCCUGGAACUGCCUCCAAAACUAUCAGUCUAGAGUUCGAGAGAGGUGAGUGGAAUUCCGAGUGUAGAGGUGAAAUUCGUAGAUAUUCGGAGGAACACCAGUGGCGAAGGCGGCUCACUGGCUCGAUACUGACGCUGAGGUGCGAAAGUGUGGGGAGCAAACAGGGAUUAGAUACCCUGGUAGUCCACACCGUAAACGAUGAAAUGCCCAAGUCGUCGGGUAGCAUGCUAUUCGGUGACACACCUAACGGAUUAAGCAUUCCGCCUGGGGAUACGGUCGCAAGAUUA